UAUCUAUAGGAGCUCUUUGAGUCCAGAUAUGGUCGAAGCGCUUAUAUGUACUCAAAACUGGUUGAAGCCUUCUGACAAUGAUCUAAAUGUCCUUAAUAUGACUGAAGAAUAUGAUAUUAGUGAAUCAAUUGUUUCAGAGUUUCAAGUAGCUACUGGUGGAGCAGCUGCUCCUACACAGGCUGGGCCUGUUUAAUUCUCGCCUAGCUGUGAAUUUUUGAAUAUUUUGGAGUCACUUUGUGAUUCAAUAAGACAAGCCUUUCUUUUUUGGAGUCAUUUUUUGAAACUAAGGAUGGAACCGUUUCAGUAGCUACUGCGUU
Long non-coding RNA from Lathyrus oleraceus (garden pea), 317 nucleotides. RefSeq lists it as uncharacterized. NCBI's taxonomy places the organism in Eukaryota, Viridiplantae, Streptophyta, Magnoliopsida, Fabales, Fabaceae. The record is from RefSeq and is a predicted model, not a curated record. The transcript has 3 exons.